AGCUCCAAUAGCGUAUAUUAAAGUUGCUGCAGUUAAAAAGCUCGUAGUUGGAUUUGUGGCGCGGUCGUCCGGCGGGGCUUCCGGGUUCGUUGUAUCCCGGGGCCGUUUGUCUGGGUUCUUGGCCGCCCCAUUCUUCGGUAGCGGGUCGCUGGCAUUAGGUUGUCGGCUUCUUCGCGCCGAUCGUUUACUGUGAAAAAAUUAGAGUGUUCAAAGCAGGCUUAGGCCGUUGGAUACAUUAGCAUGGAAUAAUGAGAUAGGGCCACGGCGGUCUAUUUUGUUGGUUUGCACGUUGUGGUAAUGAUUAACAGGAACGGUUGGGGGUAUUCGUAUUCAAUUGUCAGAGGUGAAAUUCUUGGAUUUAUGGAAGACGAACUACUGCGAAAGCAUUUACCAAGGAUGUUUUCA
RNAcentral lists this ribosomal RNA (405 nucleotides) under uncultured eukaryote. RNAcentral's name for it is "SSU rRNA". It matches the Rfam family "Eukaryotic small subunit ribosomal RNA", at positions 587 to 972 of the family's 1831-position model. The record is from RNAcentral.